GCCUACGGGGGGCAGCAGUGGGGAAUAUUGGACAAUGGGCGAAAGCCUGAUCCAGCCAUGCCGCGUGAGUGAUGAAGGCCUUAGGGUUGUAAAGCUCUUUCGCACGCGACGAUAAUGACGGUAGCGUGACAAGAAGCCCCGGCUAACUUCGUGCCAGCAGCCGCGGUAAUACGAAGGGGGCUAGCGUUGUUCGGAAUCACUGGGCGUAAAGCGCAUGCAGGCGGAUCGUUAAGUCGGGGGUGAAAUCCCGAGGCUCAACCUCGGAACUGCCUUCGAUACUGGCGAUCUUGAGUCCGGGAGAGGUGAGUGGAACUGCGAGUGUAGAGGUGAAAUUCGUAGAUAUUCGCAAGAACACCAGUGGCGAAGGCGGCUCACUGGCCCGGUACUGACGCUCAGGUGCGAAAGCGUGGGGAGCAAACAGGAUUAGAUACCCUGGUAGU
RNAcentral lists this ribosomal RNA (440 nucleotides) under uncultured bacterium. RNAcentral describes it as "bacterial SSU rRNA". It matches the Rfam family "Bacterial small subunit ribosomal RNA", at positions 337 to 794 of the family's 1533-position model. The record is from RNAcentral.